UACAGAGGUCUCAAGCGUUGUUCGGAUUCAUUGGGCGUAAAGGGUGCGUAGGCGGCGCGGUAAGUCUGGUGUGAAAACUCGAGGCUUAACCUCGAGAUGUCAUCGGAAACCAUCUGGCUAGAGUCCGGAAGAGGAGAGUGGAAUUCCUGGUGUAGCGGUGAAGUGCGCAGAUAUCAGGAAGAACACCAAUGGCGAAAGCAGCUCUCUGGGACGGUACUGACGCUGAGACGCGAAAGCGUGGGGAGCGAACAGG
Molecule: ribosomal RNA, 253 nt
Filed under: uncultured bacterium
Lineage: Bacteria
Description: partial 16S ribosomal RNA
Rfam family: Bacterial small subunit ribosomal RNA
Source: RNAcentral